UAUUUUAUUUCAGUACCAAAAAAAUGAAUAUCAUAAAAACGAUGAAACAAAAGAAAUCCCGCAGAAAAAUCUUGCGAGAAAGGGAAGCUACUCGCAUAGGCGCCUACGCACUGUGCAUGCACACGCGCGCCCAAUCAACAAGAGACUUGCGCACAGCACGCAUGUCCCAUCCGCCCACGCGGCGCUGGGUCAACCUUACGCUUGCCUGAUGUGCACAGACGGGCUGUCUGUGCAUCACUUCAGGUGCAGACAAGU
RNAcentral lists this long non-coding RNA (255 nucleotides) under Carica papaya (papaya). RNAcentral's name for it is "long non-coding RNA (CPAP_LNC000250)". Lineage: Eukaryota; Viridiplantae; Streptophyta; Magnoliopsida; Brassicales; Caricaceae. The record is from RNAcentral.